AUACUUACCUGGCAGGGGUGAUACCAUGAUCAAGAAGGUGGUUUCUCCCAAGAUGAGGCUCAGCUAUUGCACUUUGGUGGUGCUGAGCCUUGCGAAUUCCCCAACGUGUGAAUCUUGACUGCAUAAUUUCUGAUGGUGUGGGCUGUGUGCAUUCUUCCAUA
This is a small nuclear RNA of Ictalurus punctatus (channel catfish), 161 nucleotides long. Its record names the gene U1. It matches the Rfam family "U1 spliceosomal RNA". Rfam says of the family: U1 is a small nuclear RNA (snRNA) component of the spliceosome (involved in pre-mRNA splicing). Its 5' end forms complementary base pairs with the 5' splice junction, thus defining the 5' donor site of an intron. There are significant differences in sequence and secondary structure between metazoan and yeast U1 snRNAs, the latter being much longer (568 nucleotides as compared to 164 nucleotides in human). NCBI's taxonomy places the organism in Eukaryota, Metazoa, Chordata, Actinopteri, Siluriformes, Ictaluridae. The record is from Ensembl.